Molecule: ribosomal RNA, 454 nt
Filed under: uncultured bacterium
Lineage: Bacteria
Description: bacterial SSU rRNA
Rfam family: Bacterial small subunit ribosomal RNA
Source: RNAcentral
UACGGAAGGUAGCAGUGGGGAAUAUUGCACAAUGGGCGCAAGCCUGAUGCAGCCAUGCCGCGUGUAUGAAAAAGGCCUUCGGGUUGUAAAGUACUUUCAGUCGUGAGGAAGGUGUUAAGGUUAAUAACCUUAGCAAUUGACGUUAGCGACAGAAGAAGCACCGGCUAACUCCGUGCCAGCAGCCGCGGUAAUACGGAGGGUGCGAGCGUUAAUCGGAAUUACUGGGCGUAAAGGGCACGCAGGCGGUUAAUUAAGUUGGAUGUGAAAUCCCCGGGCUUAACCUGGGAAUGGCAUUCAAGACUGGUUAGCUAGAGUCUUGUAGAGGGGGUAGAAUUCCAUGUGUAGCGGUGAAAUGCGUAGAGAUGUGGAGGAAUACCGGUGGCGAAGGCGGCCCCUGGACAAAGACUGACGCUCAUGUGCGAAAGCGUGGGGAGCAAACGAGGGAUUAGAUACC